This 253-nucleotide ribosomal RNA is filed under the name uncultured bacterium. RNAcentral's name for it is "partial 16S ribosomal RNA". It matches the Rfam family "Bacterial small subunit ribosomal RNA", at positions 524 to 776 of the family's 1533-position model. The record is from RNAcentral.
UACAGGGGGUGCAAACGUUGCUCGGAAUCAUUGGGCGUAAAGCGUACGUAGGCGGUUCGUUAUGUCGGAUGUGAAAGCCCUUGGCUUAACCGAGGAAGUGCAUCCGAAACUGGCGAGCUAGAGUACGAAAGAGGAUCGCGGAAUUCCCGGUGUAGAGGUGAAAUUCGUAGAUAUCGGGAGGAACACCGGUGGCGAAGGCGGCGAUCUGGGUCGAUACUGACGCUGAGGCACGAAAGCGUGGGGAGCAAACAGG